AUUAAUAAAUUGAGCGACUGUGAUUUUAAUGUUUCAGGAAAACUUCGGAAAACACUAUUCAUUUCCAUUUGUUUGUUAACUAUUAGACCAUCCGUAGUCAUAAAGCCCCUUUGUGGGCGUUAUGCGACACGUGUCGUGCCACGUCACACAGGGGCUUUAUGGGGCGUUAUGCCACUUGAGGCCGUAGUCAUAAAGCCACUACCUCAUCAUUACUCAGUUAAUUAAUUUUCAUUUUUUUUAAUUAAGUUCCUAUAAAACCCAGCUUAACAUCCAAAAGUUUGCCCUUUCUUCCCCACAUCAGUAACAUCCUCAACCAAAAUAAUCUACACCAACAACACCAAACAAACCAAUCAACACUUACCCACAAACCAAUUCCCCCAAAUCAUCAUCAAAACGUGCAGACUGUACCUUUCUUGUUUUCUUGGCUUUCUUUUGAGCAAAAACCACAAAGGUUGAAGCUUUAUCGGAAAUCUGCUGCUCCGAUCAUCUUCUCCGAUCACUUCAUCGGAGAUUCCGAUGACCUUCACGCCGACGUCUUCUUCUUCACUUCAUCGGACCGACAAGGUUGGCCGGUGAGAUUGGCGUGAUUGGUCUGAUUUUUGAAAAGCUCCAGCUUCGCGCCGCGAAGAGGAUAACGCCGACUCCAAAAUUCUACCCCAUAGCGCCCCCUGUUUCGGUGUGGGCCGGCGCUAUGGGGCGCCAUAGCUGAUUCCGGCGUGAUGUCCCGCCCACUACGGAUGCUCUUAGAAGCACCUAUCAGAGUCGGGUUUUCUUCAUACUCAACAAUUGCAAAAAGUGCAACCACACAUGCAUAGUCCAUGUUAGGUUGGAUUGUGGCCGUAAACUUGUUCGCAGCGUACUUUGUGUCUUGCGGUUUAUGCAUCUACAAGAUCAGUAAGUCACAUUAAUGAGGUUCAAAAUAAGUUUUAUGUAAUAUUGUAGAUACCAAAAUUGUUCUUAACUACCUGUGCUACUACUGUUGAAGAAUCUCCCUUAUAAAUUGUGAUGUUUCCCAUAGACCAGCUCCCUUUAAUCCUUAAAUCACAAACAUCCUUGCUUCUCAUUUUGUUUGCCAACAUCAUGAUAACAUUGGCCUUAAAUUUCAUCGUUUCGGUUUUUGCGGUAAAUAUCAUGUCCGAAUCGGAUACACUUUCACCCUUGAAUACAUUCCAUCUAUUAUGCAAACUAAAAGCCUGAAAUUUAACAAAAUAUAGUCUAUUAGAGAUAUAUUUAAAUGUGAACAAGUGAUUUUUAAAAGAAUUUUGAGAAUUUUUUAGUUGGAAAAUUUUGAGUUGUGAAAGCCAUAUGAAUGAGAAGUAGUAGUGAAAUUUUUGAGAAUCAUGAGAAGUAGGAGUUCUCAAGGUUAUAAUGUUGAUGAUUUGGGUGGAUAUAAAAGGAUAUUUAAAAGCACUACACGAUAUGUCUUUACAACGCGAGUAUAAACACUGAGCUGGAUGUCCAGACUGUAGAAAAAUGUGGCUUUAUCAACAACAAAAUUCGAGUACAUGGUUGUUGCUGAAGCACGCAAACAACUAGUUGCGUUCAAGACUUAUCUUCAAGAAUUCGAUAAGCAGCAGUCUAAUACUCAUUAUACAAUGACAAAGAGAGUGUAGUGAGACUUUCCAAGAAUCCAAUCGAUCUAUUGUGGGAAGACAUCGGGAUGAGGUAUCAUUUCGUGAGAGGAUUGAUCAAUAAAGGAACAAUCAGUUUGAAGAAUAUCUCGGGUGCUAAGAGCAGUACAAGUCUACAGUGUUGGAUAAGCUAAAGCGUUGCCAAGAAUAAUGUUAAGAAGACCAGGGUAAUUAGGGACAUUUAUUAAGGUGGAUUUUCAUUACAGAAGUACACUAGAGAUGGUGUAGUUGUUGGUUUGAAGACAACAAGUGGGAGAUUGUUGGAGAUAUGUUAUCUUCAGCCCACAUUUGGGCAGCCAAAAAUUCUAAGGAGCAAGGGGAAGGGUUUGGCUGGGCCUAACCUCAAUGGCUCAGUUUGCUUAGUAUCUUGUUUGGCAAGUUUUGCUAGUCUAUAUAUAGAUCUCAUGUACUUGUAAUCAUUGAUCACUACUUAAUGGGAGCACAAGAUUAUGUGCAACCUGAUAUUGCAGCUGUGGUGGAGGUUUGUUGACGUAGAGGCUCUAAUAAAUAACUUCUAACUACACAUGUCACAAUUAUACGAGCACAAGAUUGUUUUUCCUGCUUCUCUUAUUUUACUUGUUCUAUAAACCUAAAUAAGUAACCAACUAACUAUAUCUUAUCCUAAAUUAUCGUUUUUUAAAUAACAACUAUUAAAUAUGUAAUUUUUUUUUCCAACCGGUUUAAAAAACUGGCUUCUAUCCUACUUUCUAAAAAAAAGAGAUUGGUAGGAGUUAUUCUCUAUACAUAAAGUAUCAUCUAUCAGUAUUAUUGUUUCAAUUAUUGUUUCACAUUUCGAUCUCGAUUUCAGCAGCAAAUAUCAAAAACAAAUCAUGGAACAACUAUGAUUUAAGAAGUAGAAGCUUAAAGUUACCUUUUGGAGCAUCACGAUUGGCUUCUCAUUAGCGUCAAGUAGCGCGAGCUGUAAACGGUUGGUCUUACAUUCUUUUACUCUGAACAUGAUUGUAUGAUUAGUAUCAGUGAUCAUAAGGUUUCUACCAGGAUACUUCUUGACUAUAAUUUCAAGUGGUUCUGGUGUAACGAACUGAGGACCGAUGACAGAAAAUGGAGGGAAUACAGGUGCACCACUAGGUUGAGCCAUCAUCACAAGCAAACACUAAGAUUGUAGUUCUAUGCAGGUAUGCAUGGAGUAGGAGCAGUGUGAAGGCUUUUAACAUGAUAUUCAUUAACCAACAAGUUGACUACAUCCACAUGUGCGUAGUGCCUAGUGGACUGUAAUCUUUAACUUGAUACUAGAUAUUAAGUUAUAAUAUUUUUGAUUUAUUUAUUUCUCAGGCACCAUAAUUGACUACUUGCUUGUAAAGAACGUGAAGCGUUUGUCAUCAAGUGAAUUUCGAAUUCUUUAAUUCUGUAAUGUAUAAUACAACUGGUAUAAUGUUGUUGGCCGCCGGACCAAGGAA
Helianthus annuus (common sunflower) is the source of this 3049-nucleotide long non-coding RNA. RefSeq lists it as uncharacterized. The record is from RefSeq and is a predicted model, not a curated record. The transcript has 2 exons. Lineage: Eukaryota; Viridiplantae; Streptophyta; Magnoliopsida; Asterales; Asteraceae.